UAAACGACUCUCGGAAACGGAUAUUUCGGCUCUCGCAUCAAGUAAGAAAGUGCCGUAAUGGGAUACUUGUGGUGAAUUGCAGGAUCCCGUGAACCUUUGAGUGCUUGAAGCCCAGUAGCGCCCUAAGCCAUUGGGCCGAGGGCAUGUCUGCCUGGGCGUCAGGC
RNAcentral lists this ribosomal RNA (164 nucleotides) under Diabelia spathulata var. spathulata. RNAcentral describes it as "5.8S ribosomal RNA". It matches the Rfam family "5.8S ribosomal RNA". From Rfam's summary of the family: 5.8S ribosomal RNA (5.8S rRNA) is a component of the large subunit of the eukaryotic ribosome. It is transcribed by RNA polymerase I as part of the 45S precursor that also contains 18S and 28S rRNA. The record is from RNAcentral. Lineage: Eukaryota; Viridiplantae; Streptophyta; Magnoliopsida; Dipsacales; Caprifoliaceae.